This 253-nucleotide ribosomal RNA is filed under the name uncultured bacterium. Its description in RNAcentral is "partial 16S ribosomal RNA". It matches the Rfam family "Bacterial small subunit ribosomal RNA", at positions 524 to 776 of the family's 1533-position model. The record is from RNAcentral.
UACGUAGGGGGCAAGCGUUGUCCGGAUUCAUUGGGCGUAAAGAGCGUGUAGGCGGCCAGGUAGGUCGGUUGUGAAAACUGGAGGCUCAACCUUCAGACGUCGACCGAAACCAUCUGGCUAGAGUCCGGGAGAGGAGAGUGGAAUUCCUGGUGUAGCGGUGAAAUGCGCAGAUAUCGGGAAGAACACCCGUGGCGAAAGCGGCUCUCUGGAACGGUACUGACGCUGAGACGCGAAAGCGUGGGGAGCGAACAGG